RNAcentral lists this ribosomal RNA (492 nucleotides) under uncultured bacterium. Its description in RNAcentral is "partial 16S ribosomal RNA". It matches the Rfam family "Bacterial small subunit ribosomal RNA", at positions 29 to 507 of the family's 1533-position model. The record is from RNAcentral.
AGUGAACGCUGGCGGUAGGCCUAACACAUGCAAGUCGAACGGCAGCACAGUAAGAGCUUGCUCUUACGGGUGGCGAGUGGCGGACGGGUGAGGAAUACAUCGGAAUCUACUUUUUCGUGGGGGAUAACGUAGGGAAACUUACGCUAAUACCGCAUACGACCUACGGGUGAAAGCAGGGGAUCUUCGGACCUUGCGCGAUUGAAUGAGCCGAUGUCGGAUUAGCUAGUUGGCGGGGGAAAGGCCCACCAAGGCGACGAUCCGUAGCUGGUCUGAGAGGAUGACCAGCCACAUUGGAACAGAGACACGGUCCAGACUCCUACGGGAGGCAGCAGUGGGGAAUAUUGGAAAAUGGGCGCAAGCCUGAUCCAGCAAUACCGCGUGGGUGAAGAAGGCCUUCGGGUUGUAAAGCCCUUUUGUUGGGAAAGAAAAGCAGCAGGUUAAUACCCCGCUGUUCUGACGGUACCCAAAGAAUAAGCACCGGCUAACUUCGUG